ACGCUCUUAGCUCAGUUGGAUAGAGCAUCAGCCUUCUAAGCUGAGGGUCAUAGGUUCGACCCCUAUAGAGCGUA
RNAcentral lists this transfer RNA (74 nucleotides) under Seculamonas ecuadoriensis. Its description in RNAcentral is "tRNA-Arg". It matches the Rfam family "tRNA". From Rfam's summary of the family: Transfer RNA (tRNA) molecules are approximately 80 nucleotides in length. The record is from RNAcentral. Lineage: Eukaryota; Jakobea; Jakobida; Moramonadidae.